AAUGAACGUUGGCGGCAUGGAUUAGGCAUGCAAGUCGGGGGAAUCCCAGCAAUGGGGGAACCGGCGUAAGGGGCAGUAAGGCAUGGGUACCUACCUUGGGGUUCGGGAUAGCCAUCAGAGAUGGUGGGUAAUACCGGAUGACGUCGUGAGACCAAAGCUUCAUCGCCCUUAGAGGGGCCCAUGUGAUAUUAGCUAGUUGGUGGGGUAACGGCCCACCAAGGCGAAGAUGUCUAGCGGGUGUGAGAGCACGACCCGCGCCACUCGCACUGAGACACUGGCGAGACACCUACGGGUGGCUGCAGUCGAGGAUCUUCGGCAAUGAGCGCAAGCUUGACCGAGCGAUGCCGCGUGAGCGAUGAAGGCCUUCGGGUUGUAAAGCUCUUUAGUGGGGGAGAAAAGCCGCAAGGUGUGAUCUAUCCCAAAAAUAAGCACGGGCUAAGUUCGUGCCAGCCGCCGCCGUAA
RNAcentral lists this ribosomal RNA (462 nucleotides) under uncultured bacterium. RNAcentral describes it as "partial 16S ribosomal RNA". It matches the Rfam family "Bacterial small subunit ribosomal RNA", at positions 29 to 523 of the family's 1533-position model. The record is from RNAcentral.